This 497-nucleotide ribosomal RNA is filed under the name uncultured bacterium. RNAcentral's name for it is "partial 16S ribosomal RNA". It matches the Rfam family "Bacterial small subunit ribosomal RNA", at positions 28 to 507 of the family's 1533-position model. The record is from RNAcentral.
GAUGAACGCUGGCGGCGUGCCUAAUACAUGCAAGUCGAGCGAACAGACGAGGAGCUUGCUCCUCUGACGUGAGCGGCGGACGGGUGAGUAACACGUGGAGAACCUACCUAUAAGAGGGGGAUAACUUCGGGAAACCGGAGCUAAUACCGGAUAAUAUAUUGAACCACAUGGUUCAAUAGUGAAAGACGGUUUUGCUUUCACUUAUGGAUGGAUCGGGGCCGCAUUAGCUAGUUGGUAAGGUAACGGCUUACCAAGGCAACGAUGCGUAGCCGACCUGAGAGGGUGAUCGGCCACACUGGAACUGAGCCACGCUCCAGACUCCUCCGGGAGGCAGCAGUAGGGAAUCUUCCGCAAUGGGCGAAAGCCUGACGGAGCAACGCCGCGUGAGUGAUGAAGGUCUUCGGAUCGUAAAACUCUGUUAUUAGGGAAGACCAAAUGUGUAAGUAACUAUGCACGUCUUGACGGUACCUAAUCAGAAAGCCACGGCUAACUACGUG